CCUACGGGUGGCAGCAGUGAGGAAUAUUGGUCAAUGGGCGUAAGCCUGAACCAGCCAAGUCGCGUGAGGGAUGAAGGUUCUAUGGAUCGUAAACCUCUUUUAUAAGGGAAUAAAGUGUGGGACGUGUCCUGUUUUGUAUGUACCUUAUGAAUAAGGAUCGGCAAACUCCGUGCCAGCAGCCGCGGUAAUACGGAGGAUCCGAGCGUUAUCCGGAUUUAUUGGGUUUAAAGGGUGCGUAGGCGGCCGUUUAAGUCAGCGGUGAAAGUCUGUGGCGCAACCAGUGAAGUGCCGUUGAAACUGGGAGGCUUGAGUAUGUUUGAGGCAGGCGGAAUGCGUGGUGUAGCGGUGAAAUGCUUAGAUAUCACGCAGAACCCCGAUUGCGAAGGCAGCCUGCCAAGCCAUGACUGACGCUGAUGCACGAAAGCGUGGGGAUCAAACAGGAUUAGAUACCCUAGUAGUC
This 460-nucleotide ribosomal RNA is filed under the name uncultured bacterium. Its description in RNAcentral is "partial 16S ribosomal RNA". It matches the Rfam family "Bacterial small subunit ribosomal RNA", at positions 338 to 795 of the family's 1533-position model. The record is from RNAcentral.